AAUAGAUACCCGGGUAGUCCACGCUGUAAACGGUGGGUACUAGGUGUGGGGUCCAUUCCACGGGUUCCGCGCCGUAGCUAACGCUUUAAGUACCCCGCCUGGGGAGUACGGCCGCAAGGCUAAAACUCAAAGGAAUUGACGGGGCCCCGCACAAGCGGCGGAGCAUGCGGAUUAAUUCGAUGCAACGCGUAGAACCUUACCUGGGUUUGACAUGGAUCGGGAGUGCUCAGAGAUGGGUGUGCCUCUUUUGGGGUCGGUUCACAGGUGGUGCAUGGCUGUCGUCAGCUCGUGUCGUGAGAUGUUGGGUUAAGUCCCGCAACGAGCGCAACCCUUGUUCACUGUUGCCAGCACGUUAUGGUGGGGACCCAGUGGAGACCGCCGGGGUCAACUCGGAGGAAGGUGGGGAUGACGUCAAGUCAUCAUGCCCCUUAUGUCCAGGGCUUCACGCAUGCUACAAUGGCUGGUACAGAGAGUGGCGAGCCUGUGAGGGUGAGCGAAUCUCGGAAAGCCGGUCUCAGUUCGGAUUGGGGU
RNAcentral lists this ribosomal RNA (531 nucleotides) under uncultured bacterium. Its description in RNAcentral is "bacterial SSU rRNA". It matches the Rfam family "Bacterial small subunit ribosomal RNA", at positions 777 to 1304 of the family's 1533-position model. The record is from RNAcentral.